Molecule: ribosomal RNA, 701 nt
Filed under: Escherichia coli 8624
Lineage: Bacteria; Pseudomonadati; Pseudomonadota; Gammaproteobacteria; Enterobacterales; Enterobacteriaceae
Description: bacterial SSU rRNA
Rfam family: Bacterial small subunit ribosomal RNA
Source: RNAcentral
GGAGGUUGUGCCCUUGAGGCGUGGCUUCCGGAGCUAACGCGUUAAGUCGACCGCCUGGGGAGUACGGCCGCAAGGUUAAAACUCAAAUGAAUUGACGGGGGCCCGCACAAGCGGUGGAGCAUGUGGUUUAAUUCGAUGCAACGCGAAGAACCUUACCUGGUCUUGACAUCCACAGAACUUUCCAGAGAUGGAUUGGUGCCUUCGGGAACUGUGAGACAGGUGCUGCAUGGCUGUCGUCAGCUCGUGUUGUGAAAUGUUGGGUUAAGUCCCGCAACGAGCGCAACCCUUAUCCUUUGUUGCCAGCGGUCCGGCCGGGAACUCAAAGGAGACUGCCAGUGAUAAACUGGAGGAAGGUGGGGAUGACGUCAAGUCAUCAUGGCCCUUACGACCAGGGCUACACACGUGCUACAAUGGCGCAUACAAAGAGAAGCGACCUCGCGAGAGCAAGCGGACCUCAUAAAGUGCGUCGUAGUCCGGAUUGGAGUCUGCAACUCGAUUCCAUGAAGUCGGAAUCGCUAGUAAUCGUGGAUCAGAAUGCCACGGUGAAUACGUUCCCGGGCCUUGUACACACCGCCCGUCACACCAUGGGAGUGGGUUGCAAAAGAAGUAGGUAGCUUAACCUUCGGGAGGGCGCUUACCACUUUGUGAUUCAUGACUGGGGUGAAGUCGUAACAAGGUAACCGUAGGGGAACCUGCGGUUG